GGCGCUAAAAUUUCCACCCUUAGUUCUCUUCUUUCUACCCUUACCCCCUACCCUCUUCCCUGCACCACUAUACCCUGAAGUCCAAGAUUCCCAUCUGUGAAAUACAGGGGGCUGCAGGUUGGCUUCCUGAAGCAUUCCAUCUAAGACACUCUGAAAAGGAAGACAAAUCUUAGUGAUGCUGUAUGGAGCUAUGAUUUUUGGAAACUGGGUACAAGACCUAGGAUGUUAGAGGAGAAAUAACUGAUUCUGCUCUGCUCCUGUAGUGUUGGCAGACUCUGAGCUCUCUCCCUCCAAAAAUUGCUCAGAAACCCCCGCCAGGCCCUACCUCUCCAGCAGGCCAUGGCCCUUCCAUUCUGGGAUCCACACGCUAUUUGCAGAUGCUUCUGGCCCUUCAACAAGUCCCAACUUGCCCAGUUAGUCCAAAUAAAGCACUUGGGGGCCAGGAAGUCAGGGUGGCUUACAGAAGAGGGGCACUUCCCAGAAUCUGGAAGAAAACUCUCUCUGUAAAUAGGCAUGGUCUGGCCCUGGCUCUGAAAGAAAGACUGCUAGUAACAUUGCCCUAUAAUAGAGCUGGAGUUGGAACCA
Chinchilla lanigera (long-tailed chinchilla) is the source of this 585-nucleotide long non-coding RNA. RefSeq lists it as uncharacterized. NCBI's taxonomy places the organism in Eukaryota, Metazoa, Chordata, Mammalia, Rodentia, Chinchillidae. The transcript is spliced from 2 exons. The record is from RefSeq and is a predicted model, not a curated record.